This 484-nucleotide long non-coding RNA is filed under the name Setaria viridis. RNAcentral describes it as "long non-coding RNA (SVIR_LNC007636)". The record is from RNAcentral. Lineage: Eukaryota; Viridiplantae; Streptophyta; Magnoliopsida; Poales; Poaceae.
GUAAUAGUGUAAAGUACCUCUGGGAUGAGAUUGGAUGUAGCCAUUGAGGACGGAUUUCAAAGCUUUGGUGACUGCGGCGGUUGUCGAAGAUGAUCAUUGAUCCUUUGUUUUGAUUCGUGAAGGCGAGAAAGCUUGGCUGGCUUACUAGAGAAGGUGGAAAGAUGGGACAGUUAUAUAAUAAGAUUUUGACCCGGUGAAUCCUGAAAAUCAUGGGAGGGGCUAUCGCAAAACCUGGAGAAAAGGAUAAUGAUUGCGGCAAUGACUCUUUUGGUUUUGGAAGGAUAUCAGCUCAGAACCUGUGAAGGUACCGGAAUGACUUAAGGGCUAAGUUUGAGAAGAUAUGGCAAGGAUGACUUCAUGAUCAAAGAGAAAUCAAAGAAGAUUAAGUGGAGAUUUGGAAAGUUAUGGAAGAUCAAUCUCAUCCCGAAGCUACCGACGUGCCAGGCCCACAUGCAAGUGAAAAUAAGACUCCUGAGCAUCUAAG